This 492-nucleotide ribosomal RNA is filed under the name uncultured bacterium. Its description in RNAcentral is "partial 16S ribosomal RNA". It matches the Rfam family "Bacterial small subunit ribosomal RNA", at positions 29 to 507 of the family's 1533-position model. The record is from RNAcentral.
AGUGAACGCUGGCGGUAGGCCUAACACAUGCAAGUCGAACGGCAGCACAGUAAGAGCUUGCUCUUCCGGGUGGCGAGUGGCGGAUGGGUGGGGAAUAACUCGGAAUCUACUUUUUCAUGAGGGCUAACGUAGGGAAACUUAAGCUAAUACCGCAUACGACCUCCGGGUGAAAGCAGGGGAUCUUCGGACCUUGCGCGAGUGAACGCGCCGUUGUCGGAUUAGCGAGUUGGCGGGGUAAAGGCCCACUAAGGCGAUGAUCCGUAGCUGGUGUGAGAGGAUGAACAGCCACACUGGAGCUGAGACACGGUACAGACUCCGACGGGAGGCAGCAGUGGGGAAUAUUGGACGAUGGGCGCAAGACUGAUCCAGCCAUACCGCGUGGGUGAAGAAGGCCUGCGGGUUGUAAAGCCCUUUUGUUGGGAAAGAAAAGCAGCAGGUUAAUACCCCGCUGUUCUGACGGUACCCAAAGAAUAAGCACCGGCUAACUUCGUG